UAGAAAUGUCUUGCCUAAGUCUGUACUUCCUAACUCUUCCUUCCUGUCCCAGGGCUUCUCUGAUACUGAGAUACAGAACCUGCAGAAACAUACCCAACAGCCGUGUGUGAAUAAACCAGAAGUACAGAGAAACUAAGAUAUAAGUUAAUGAGUGCAUUAGGAACUUCAGUGUUGCUGCCAGAGGUACUUUGGAACUGCUUGUGUCAAAAGGUGCCAGCUUUUCAUCUGGGCUCGAAGUGCAGCCCAGGACAGGACAACACCUUUCUUUUCUUGCCAGUAUCUCACAGGCUUCCCUGGAGAUCUCCUCUGAAUACAUUAUUGUGUCUCGUCGAAAGUUUAGAGAGACAGCUACACCCAAGGUGUGGGGUUUUAACCUCCUCAUGCGAUGAGAAACAUGGAGUCUAAAUUUGCUUAUUGACACACUGGCAAGCUCUAGAUGCCUCGGAACAUCCUCUGGUGAGACUCUGGAAU
Long non-coding RNA from Mus musculus (house mouse), 471 nucleotides. RefSeq annotates it as predicted gene, 38933. Lineage: Eukaryota; Metazoa; Chordata; Mammalia; Rodentia; Muridae. The transcript is spliced from 3 exons. The record is from RefSeq and is a predicted model, not a curated record.